CUGGUAUACAAAGGCAGCAAACUGCAGCCUUCUGGGCAGUGUUUGAAGCCCAUUUCUUGUACAGUUUUCCCUAAGAGGCCUUGGAACCAGUC
Molecule: small nucleolar RNA, 92 nt
Filed under: Erinaceus europaeus (western European hedgehog)
Lineage: Eukaryota; Metazoa; Chordata; Mammalia; Eulipotyphla; Erinaceidae
Description: Small nucleolar RNA SNORA70
Rfam family: Small nucleolar RNA SNORA70
About the family: snoRNA U70 seems to be exclusive to mammals and is a member of the H/ACA class of snoRNA which contain H (ANANNA) and ACA box motifs. H/ACA box snoRNAs are involved in the conversion of uridines to pseudouridines (5-ribosyluracil) a constituent of structural RNAs (transfer, ribosomal, small nuclear, and small nucleolar).
Source: Rfam by way of RNAcentral